AGUUACAGAAAGAACCCACUGCAGGGCGUCCAGUCACUUGCCCAGUGAAAAGACUGUAAUCAGACAACUUUAAUAAAGGGAGAGCAGGAGAGUGGUGACGAAUUUCCACAUUCCGAACAAGCUUGUCGAAAGAGGAGUGCAGGGAAGGAGCAAGAAUGAGGCACUGGAAGACGGUGAGCGGGGCCUUGCCACAGAAUCCCGGGCCCACCUGCUUUCUCACAGUCGCGACAGCCGGCCCGGAGAAGGGCAGCCCAGCGAAGGGCACGCCCCGCGCGGGUGCCAGGGAGGCCGGCAGGGGCGUCCGCGGUCGCUGCUCACCUGCGCUCCCCGCUGCCCGGCCCAGCCCGCCUCGCCACCGAGUCUGGAAGCCCACACUCACCCCUUUACCCGGGAAACGCGGCCGGAGCCGGCGGCGGGUCGGGAGUCCGAGAUGGUAGAUCCCCCUCCAGGCGCCUCGCUGACAUUUUGUCCCGGACGGAAAACCUCCGCGCGUGCCCCUUAAAGACACAGCGCUGCAUUCACACGUCUGCGGGGAAAGGGGGGCCGUCACGUGUGGCCUUCGCCCGAAAGCGGUAGGGGAGUCGCUCUGAAACCGCCAAGGAUCGCGAGCGACAGAUUUGUGUUGGCCAGGGUUUUAAGAUGACGCAAUAGCUGAGUGUGGUUGAAAUGUAACUAUUGUUUUACAACUUUGCAUUAACCUUCCAAGACCUGAAUUCCCGGGCCUGAGUCUCAGAGCGCGGUUUGCAUCUUUGCAGGCUGUAGGCGCAUGAUGUCACAAGUUAUUGGAAGAAAUCCCUCCAACCUAGGUUGGGACAGAUGAAGGCGGCGCUUAUUGGUGUUCACCAAAACACCAGCAUGGUGUACCAGCUUUGGCUAGAUGAUGCUCAGGAAAACACAGAUCCUGGUGCCGAACAUGAGGACAGGGCAGGCCGAAGGAGAAAGUGGAAGGAGGGGAGCUUCUCUCUCAGCCUCAUCCUUCUGGGCCUGGAUGCUGGAGAGUCAUGAGGUGCUUCAGAGUACUCUGGGUGAGGAGGGAAAGAUGGUGCCCACCACAUGGAGGCCAGCCUAGGUCUUGUAUGAAACCUGUGAGCAGGAGCCAGGCCGUGGCCUGCUGACUGCAUCUGCCAGAUGACUACCAAUGUGUGAGUAAACCCAUUCUCAAGCCCAAGAGAACCUCUCAGCUGAACCAGGCCCAAGUUGCUCACCCACUGAACUGCCAGUUAAAUAAAUGGUGGUUGUUUUAAUCCACUAAAUGCUGGGAUGGUUUGUUAUACAGCAGUAGGUAUCAAUACAGUGUACUUGUCAAUCUAGGAAUUCCUGUCUUGUCAAAUCUGAGAAAAUUCUCGGUCACUGUCACUUCAAAUAUUACUUCUUUCCCAUUUUCUAUUCACUCAUUCCAAAACUCCUAGUGGAUGUCUUUUCUGUCAUUUCUGGUUCUGUCUUUUGUGAUCUUAAACUUUCAUUCAUUGUUUUUCCAUUUUUACUUCCGUGUUACAUUUUGAGUCAUUUCCUUAGUUCCAGUUUGCUUAUUUUCU
RNAcentral lists this long non-coding RNA (1535 nucleotides) under Homo sapiens (human). RNAcentral describes it as "non-protein coding ZBED3-AS1:33". Lineage: Eukaryota; Metazoa; Chordata; Mammalia; Primates; Hominidae. The record is from RNAcentral.